CCGAGCUCGGGGACGCGCGGGGACUCAGGCGCGGGGUCAGCGCCGGAAGGGCGGGGUGGGGCUUGGGCGGCAGCCCAGGAUCCAAACCUUGCUUCUUGAACCUUCUUGGCCUUAAAUCCUUUGCCUCCUGGACCUCGCCAGAAGGCCAGGAGAUAGCAUCUGCACGCCCCAGGUCAUAGCCGGUCCUUCGGAGGGGAAGCCAGGUCCUGGCCAAACCCAUCCGCCCCACUCCGGUUCCGAAACGGCCUCACUCACCUGGAGUGGUCCUUUGAGAAAAUGAGGAUUAAACCCCACAGAAACCUGCAACGCCCAUCACCCACUCUGAGGACCCUUCAAGUCCUAGAAAAACCAACUUCUGACCAUAAUACUCCUCUCUCGGGAGGGCAGGCACUCUACUGCAUCUCACCUUGAAAAGAAGGACCAUCAUCAAGAAAUCAAAUGAUGACAAAUGUUGGCAAAGCUGUAGGGAAAAUCAGCCCUUCUCCUUGUUGGUGGGAAUGUAAACUAGUACAACCACUAUGGGAAUCAGUAUAGAGAUUCCUCAAAAAAAAAGAAACUAGAAAUCCAUUUGACCCAGCUAUUCCCCUUAGAUAUCUUCCCAAAAGAGUUAAAGACAUCAUAUUACAGUGAUCCAUGCAUACCCAUGUUUAUAACAGCACAUUCAUAAUAGCUAAAUCUUGGAAGCAGUGUGCAUGUCCUUCAACAAAUUAAUAGAUAUGUGGUAUUUACACACAGUGGAGUACAUCUCUGCCAUAAAGAUAAAGGAGUG
Molecule: long non-coding RNA, 769 nt
Filed under: Fukomys damarensis (Damara mole-rat)
Lineage: Eukaryota; Metazoa; Chordata; Mammalia; Rodentia; Bathyergidae
Description: lncRNA (ENSFDAG00000029673.1)
Source: RNAcentral